This 2407-nucleotide long non-coding RNA is filed under the name Homo sapiens (human). Its description in RNAcentral is "HSALNT0341201". The record is from RNAcentral. Lineage: Eukaryota; Metazoa; Chordata; Mammalia; Primates; Hominidae.
AGAGAGAGAGAAAGGAAAAGGUGGCUUUGAAGAGGCAAGUGCAAAGAUACCAGAGACGGGGUAUUGUCAUUUUAGGCAGUUAAUUGACGGUUUCACUUACCAGGGAGCUCCCAUCAUGGGCUCCCAAAAGGCCUGACAACUGCUAGGCCCACGGGCCAUUAGCUGCACCUUUACUGAGGGGCUGCACUAUGCAUGUCUGAAAGCCGCGUGGGACAGAGGAAGGGGCAGGGAUGAGGGAAAGGACGGGGUGAGGGAAGGAAGGGAGGGUAAACCUAACUACGGCAACCUUGAGCAGGCUGGAAGAGGCUUCCUCAGGUAGGGGUGAUGUCACAAUCACAGGUUGAGAUCAGCUGCCCGGGCCACGCUGGCUCCUCGCAGGCAGGCGAGAUUUGGGAACAGCCAGGAUCCCCUCCGCACGGGAGAACAGCUCUAGACGCGCAGAGGGGCGGAGUCCAAACGGGUGCCAUCACCGUACAUCCUGGGAGCUGUAGUCUCUUAACCGCUCGUAGCCCGUUGGUGGCAAGGCGACAGUAUUACAAUCCCAGCAUGCGCAAGUCUGGGGGCGGUGCGAAGCCCUGGGGACACGGCGGUGCGCGCCUAGCUAGACAUGCUGAGAGAUGUAGUCUCUUAACCUCUCGCAGUCCCUAGGUUGCAGGACUGCAGGACUACAAUCCCGGCAUGCUCCGGGCUCGGGGUUUGGGCAUAGCUUUAGAAAGAGAGGCAGGGCGGCAGGGCGGCAGGGCGGCAGGGCGCGGUGGUUUUCGCCUGUAAUCCCAGCUCUUUGGGAAGCCGAGGCAGGCGGAUCACGAGAAGGCGUUGUAACAUCUCACUAAGCCCAGCACUCAGGCGAUGUGGCUUUCCUGCUAUGGCACUGCACACAAGAAGAAUGUUGACAUAUUCCUGGCCCAGAAUUCAGGUGGAGAUGGAGCUCUCAUGCACGGAUCCUGUCCGAUGUUAAGACUGUGUCUCGUGUAUUUGGAUGCAACUCACAAGAGGUGUUGACUCUCAGACCUAAAGCUGGGAAAUAUGUAGAAUUGUGAAAUUUAUUCCUGGUCCUUCCCGCAGGUGUGAUUGUGGCGUAUAUGUUCACACAGCACUUAAUUUAUUUUACAAUUUGUUUGAACUCAGCCAACUGUUGGGACUGUGACAUAUACCUGGACCAAGUUCCUAGGUGAUGUAACUCUCCAGCCUGGGCCUUACCACAGGGUACAUUGUGACAUAUCUUUGGACUUAUCACCUAUGUGAUGUGACUCUACUGACUUGCCUUGUCUUGGCCUCCAUUGGGGAUUGUGGCAUAUUUCUGUGCCCAGUACCUAAGUUAUGUGACUCUUCUUUCCUGCUUGUGCAUUUAGAAGGGAUUGUGACAUAUUGCUGGGCCAAGAACCUAGGUGAUGUGACUCUCCUGCCUUGGCCCUGCCUUCAGGAAAAAUUGUGAUGUGACUCUGGGUUUAUUACCUAGAUGAUGUGACUCUUGUGUUCUGCAUGGGCAAGCCCAAAGGGGUCAUUGUGGCAUAUCUCUGGGCACAUCAAAGAAGUGGUGUAAUUUUUCUCUCAUUCCAGGACUCUAGUCUCAGUAGGGAUUGUGACAUAUCACUGGGCCCAUAACCUAUGUCAUGUGAUUCUAGUAUCCUGCUUGGGCCCUGCUUACAGGAAAGAUUGUGACAUUUGGCUGGGCCCAUCACCUAGUUAAUGUGACUCUCCUUUUCUUCCUGUGCCCUGCCCUCAGUGGAGAUUGUGACAAAUUUCUGGGCCAAUCAGCUGUGCAAUAUGACUCUGCUCUUUCCUGGGCCCUGCUAUCGGGGAGCAUUGUGACAUAUUGCCAGGCUCAGCACCUAGGUAAUGUGACUCUUCUUGCUGCCUGGGCCCUACUUACAGAAGGGAUUUUGAUGUAUUGCUGAACCAAGAAUUCAGAUGAUGUGACUCUCCUGCCUGUGCGCUGUCUACAGUGGGCAUUGUGACAUAUCAUUGGUGAUGUGACUCUCCUGCCUUGUUCCUGCCCACAGGUGAAAUUGUGGCAUAUACCUGGGUCCAGAUCACAGGCACAAUGAUGACUCUCUUACCUGGACACAGCCAGUGGGAAAUAUUUUGACUUUUGUAGCCAGGCUUAGGGCCACAGGUGGUUUGGUGACUCUCAAACCAUGAUUCAGCAGACCUGUGAGGCUGUGAGUUCCCUAUCAGAACACAAUCUGCAGGUUGUAUUGUGCCAUAUACCUGGGACCAAAUUACAAGCACAAUGAUGAAUCUUUUACCUGGAGUCAAGACAUGGGCAGGAUGAUGGAACUUAUCACUGGACCUUUCCACAGUGUUAUUGUGACAUAUGCCUUUGCCCAACAUGUGGUGAUUUGACUCCCCAGACUGGGUCCAGUUCACAAAUAAAAUUGUGCCGUAUACUUGGCCAAGAACCUAA